Long non-coding RNA from Acinonyx jubatus (cheetah), 1072 nucleotides. RefSeq lists it as uncharacterized. The record is from RefSeq and is a predicted model, not a curated record. NCBI's taxonomy places the organism in Eukaryota, Metazoa, Chordata, Mammalia, Carnivora, Felidae. The transcript is spliced from 6 exons.
CAGAGAGCCUGCAGUCGCUGGGAGCCGCUCCAGGACACAGCCUGUGCGAGGGAAAAGGUUUGAACAAGAGGAGGAAGAGUAAAGGGCAGCCAGAGUCUUUGGUUUGAGUCCGGAGAGUUUGAGCAAAUAGUUGGUUGCUGGGUGGAGGACAGUGGAGGGGCAGUUACCUGGCUAUGUUUUCUCUCCCUGCUCUACCUUGAGCUCCGAUCAGCCAGAUGUCCAGAGUGGGGACUCACCACUGCAAGGGCCUCUGGCCCUCAGAGCAGCCUCACAGGAAGGACUCAGGGACAUAUGAGCACAACCAUUCAGACCAAGGACUGCGAGCCAGACUGCCUGGGUUGAAAUCCUACCCUGCUACUCACCGGCUGUGCCACUUUGGAUAAAGACACUGGACGAGAGAAUAAUACUAAUAGCUGCCAUGUGCUGAGUGCCCGACAGGCAACUUGCUCAGGGUCACACAGCGGGUCAGUGACAGACCCAGAACUGGAUGCAAUGCCCACCUUCUCCACAGUCCACUUGUUCAAACUUUCAGCAGAUUUAAAGAUUUAAAGAUGCAAGAAAUAACUGGCUAGCAGGCACUCCUCACAGCCCACAAUGUCCAGAAAAGGAACAACGGGUACAAAGGUUAACAACAGGUCAAGAGCACCUACAUCCUCUCUCCUUUUACCUCUAAACACAGAAAGGAAUCAACCCAUGGAGGAAGGACUGUAGUCCUGGGCCAGGUGGUGGAGGAGUAGACAGUGAGCAUCAGACCUUUCCUGGAAUGAAUAGAGUCAAAGGACAACAAAGUACAGGGAAGGAUCUAGAAGCAGAUCUCUGUUUCCUAGGUCAUCAGAAAAUUGGCACUCCUGGGUUUGCUUUUACUAAAGACCUAUGCUGGUGCCUGAUCUCACUAUCCCAAGGAAAUGUGAAGAUGAUUUUUGCUUUUAAGAAAUGGCUUGGAGAAGCCAAACUCCCAAUCAAGGCGGCCUCUGGCCCUGGAAGGAUCCCACCGAACCUGUCUAAAGAGCAUCCUCCUUGCUGAAGGGUAAGAAAAGAGACUGAAGCCCAGUUCAAGAGGUUAAGGAGGGAU